Oncorhynchus tshawytscha (Chinook salmon) is the source of this 1695-nucleotide long non-coding RNA. NCBI's taxonomy places the organism in Eukaryota, Metazoa, Chordata, Actinopteri, Salmoniformes, Salmonidae. The record is from Ensembl.
CAGGCUCGGUGGAAGAUGGUAAAGUCAGAACGUACCUAUUGUAGCUGUUGCUUUAAACUACCCUGGGUCGUUGUACAUUCAAGCCUAGCGCAGCAUUAUUUUCAGCGUGAAACCGCAAAAUGUUUUCAGAGCCGCUAUCACAUAAAUUAGCAGCGCGCCAGGCUGACAGCACGCUGCUGACGGGCAGAUUUCCUUCGCGUUCACUAACUCGUAACCAAAGAAAAAAUACAAUUUAGCUACUCGUGUGAUGUGACACCAACCCGUCGUAGCAAACUUCUGUCAACUUGCUACUGAGACUGAAUAUGUUUGACUUGCAUAGAGUGGUCAUAAUAUGGGUUAUGUGUAUAAUCCGUUUUUUACGCAAACAUGCGAUCCAACCUGUUGCAAAUUUAACAUGAAUAGCCCAUAGUCUACAUACUAUUGUCUUGUCCAUUGUUUUGUUUUUUAAGAAAACCAAUACAAAUGUAUCAGUGUUUGUGUAUUCAUUUGAGAGUUCAAUUCACUUGCUAGAAAUAAGCGCAUCAGAACUUCCCAGUUUAUUCUCAUUUAGCAGCCUGGGGCACCUGUGGCUCAGAACACAUUUUAUGAUCUGAGGGGUGGAGCCUUUGGUUACUUCACCACAGACCCUGUGGUAUAAAGUAGGCAAAGGCUCCACCUCUCAGCGAUCACCUAGGUGAGGACUCAAAGAGAAACCUGCACAUACAGAGAGUACCCCAAGACAAAACAUUCCUAUGAGACGCCAGUACCAGUAUGGCAGAAUUCAUCAAGAAGACAGUGUUGGAUGAAACCCCCAGUAAAAGGGGGUAAAAAGGUUGAGGUCCAUGUGAUUAAAAUAAAAAAAAUCACACAAUUACUAAAGAAAACACCUGGAGGACCUAAGGCUUUCUGGUAGUUUCUGAAACACUCCACACACAAAAUAAAUGAAAAAGGGAGCCUGAAUGUGGUUAAAUGCAAGUUUGUUACAAUCUUCUCAUUUGGUGUGGGGAAAUGCCAUGCACUUGUAACGGAUGUGAAAUAGCUAGAUAGUUAGUAGUGCACGCUAGUAGCGUUUCAAUCAGUGACGUCACUCGCUCUGAGACCUUGAAGUAGUUUUUCCCCUAGCUCUGCAAGGGCUGCGCAUUUUGUGGCGCGAUGGGUAAAGAUGCUUCGAGGGUGACUGUUGUCUGUCUGCAUAGGGUCCCUAGUUUGAGCCCAGGUAGGGGCGAGGAGAGGGACGGAAGCUAUACUGUUACAUUGGUGCCGUGACCCGGAUCACUGGUUGCUGCGGAAAAGGAGGAGGGUGAGUGUAACCGAUGUGAAAUGGCUAGCUAGUUAGCGGUGGUGCUCGCUAAUAGCAUUUCAAUUGGUGACGUCACUUCUCUGAAACCUUGAAGUAGUUGUUCCCCUUGCUCUGCAAGGGCCGUGUCUUUUGUGACGCGAUGGGUAACGAUUCUUCGAGGGUGACUGUCUGUGUGCAGAGGGUCCCUGGUUCAAGCCUAGGUAGGGGCGAGGAGAGGGACAGAAGCUAUACUGUUACACACUCAAAACAAUUAACAAAACUACCAGAACAGUUAUGGUCAGAUGGCAUUUCAUAAAGUAAAGAAGUACUUUAUGGUCACACACGUGUUUAGCAGAUGUUAUUGCGGGUAUAGCGAAAUGCUUAGUUUUCUAGCUCCGGCAGUGCAGUAAUGUCUAACAGUUUCACAACAUAUACAC